This is an RNA transcript of Betta splendens (Siamese fighting fish), 4487 nucleotides long. It is a transcript of the gene named cugbp, Elav-like family member 3a, with no coding region annotated. The transcript is spliced from 15 exons. The record is from RefSeq and is a predicted model, not a curated record. NCBI's taxonomy places the organism in Eukaryota, Metazoa, Chordata, Actinopteri, Anabantiformes, Osphronemidae.
GGGGGGGUGAGGCUGCGCUGGCUCCCCCCUUUGAAUCCUGCGUCGCUUCCAGUGAUGGCUUCUUAAGUCUGACAUGAAGGCAGCAGCAGAUGGGUAAGCCUGCACUUUAAUACACCAGCAGCACGGCACCAAAACAGUCAACAGAGGCUGGGAGAGAAUGAAAUGUUGAAAUAGUUCCGUUUGUUUGUUCAGUCGCGUGUUUGAGUGGACAGAGGCCCCUGUGAGUAAGUACAACAGGAUUAUUAAAUACUCUAUAAACAAUCUAUUUUCUCUCUGUUGGGCACAGUUGCCUCACAGUGUUUAACACGUUCCAUUCACGUUUUCAGAAAUAAACCUCCACUGCUCAUAUAAUAAAACGGUGUCGUCUGUUUGUUUACGUGUUGGUUUUUUAUGUACUCUAAACGUUGUGUACUGUAUUUCAACUCACCCUUAAUCAAAAGGAACGGGUCUCUCCUCUAGUUACACACAACAAAUAACCCCAUGCAGCGCAGUGGUAGCGACAACGUCAUGCAUGCGUCGUUGUGGGAUAUUUUCAACGUUAUUGUCUAUGCAAAGCACAGCAACAGGAUCAACGCCACGAAUGGCGCCCCGUCUCGUCGCCAGAUGUCGUCGUUGUUUACCCUCCAAAAUAAAAUUGCCAUCCAUUGUGAAAAUGACACGAAUCACGUUUCCGGAGAGCAGCCCACCGCUCAUUCACCCUCGGCCAAAGCUUUGCCACAGUGCGCGUGAUCUACAGCUACGUGUCAUGGGUGAAACGCGGGAGGCGGAUAGUAUUUAUAUGCUGCCUGUGGAUCCGCUCUCGACGUUACGGGAAGGUGAUCGUGUCCUUCCCACUCAACGCGCAGCUGUGUUUGUUCGUGGAAAAAAAGAGUUGCUGCGUGCGUUUUUGAAUAAACACUAUGAUGUUGCUGUCGUUGCUUUAAGCCAAACGGGUCCAGAUCGUGACUCCUUUGAAGUGUGGCCGUGUGCGCAUGUCGGGUGUGUGCAGCCUGGUGUCAUGUGGGCUUAUUGUUUACAUGCUGUUGAGAUUUCACGGAGGGCGUGUGCGCGUCUCUCCCGUGAAAAAAACAAAAACAAGAAAACACCGUCGCUGCGUGAACGAACACGCGCGUGGAAGGGUUUUCGUUCCCGCACAGAGAGCUCGAACUGGAGCGGUGACGGGGUGCGGCGAGCCGAGCGGACCCAUUUCAGAACCACGGCCAGCGCCACGGCGAGAACAAAAGGCGGAUUUGCGUGGCUUGAUGUCAGGGAGCGUGUGCGUCUCACUCGCCUACAUGAAAAACGAAAAAGAUGAACCGUGGCUCAGAGCCCCUCCAGUUUCAAUUACAGCUCGUCUCUGCUGUAGAUGAGACAAGCUCCUGUUACAUCUGAUUGUUUGCAAUUCUCUAUAUAGCACCAACCAGCCAACAUGUCUUUUACUAUGAUUUAAUAAAUGUGAGUGAGUGUUUUCUUAGAUGAGUAAAUUAAACCCCAGCAGCAGUUGAAUAGUAAAUUUACACAAAUCAGACGCUGAUGAAGAUGUUUGGCUUACUCAUAUCUUUAUUUUUCCUACUCUAAAGAUUAGAACACACAAUCUGGUGUGCUUAUAUUUUAUUAUUGGUUAAAUUUCUCAUUAGAGAAAAUAAUUGUCUUUUAUGUGUAGGCAAUUUCAUUUCCCUCUGCCCUUCGACUAGUCUGCGUUUGUCACAGCGGUAGUAGUUUAUUGACGGUCCCUGGCGGUAGACAUCACGGCUCGUACAGCCCAGAGGAGGGAUGGAGCUGAGAUGGACGGGGAGGGAGACACCGGCUUACGACGUCAAAGGAGUACAGACACACAUAUACACAGAGAAGGAGAGGAGAGGACAAGCAAGCAGACUGGCGGAUCUCUACAGCAGGAAGGCUAAACAUUCACCUGAUCCAACACUCUCCGUUUAACCAAGCCAGUGAGAGAUUUGAUUAUUUUUAUGUCAGAUUUAUUUUAGAAAAAAAAAAAAUAAACAAGGGAGUAUCUGUCAGUAAAGAGCGGGAGGGAGAACAACAAGCAGAUCUAGGUAAAACACGCUCAUGCAGAAUAAAGGACCGUCGCUGGAUGUGAGUUGUGUUGAUUUAGGGGGGGAACAGGCCUAACUUGUUACAGGAUUCAAAGGCGCUUCAGAGACACAUGAACUGAAUAAUUGAGAUUUAAUUACCGAACGCCAGCGAGCGGGGAGAAAAAGGCUUGCUCCGAUUCCGCCGAUUCUUCGCCACGACCAGCACCACAGACUUCUCAAUGAAGGAGCCUGACGCAAUCAAGCUCUUCAUCGGGCAGAUACCCCGAAAUCUGGAGGAGAAGGACCUCAAGCCCAUCUUUGAGCAGUUUGGCAAGAUCUAUGAGUUGACGGUGAUAAAGGACAAAUACACAGGGAUGCACAAAGGUUGCGCCUUCCUGACAUAUUGUGCGCGUGAGUCAGCCCUCAAAGCCCAGAAUGCACUGCACGAGCAGAAGACGCUACCAGGGAUGAACCGUCCCAUCCAAGUGAAGCCGGCCGACAGCGAGAGCAGAGGAGAAGACAGGAAGCUGUUUGUGGGCAUGCUGGGAAAGCAGCAGACAGACGCCGAUGUGAGGAAGAUGUUCGAGCCCUUCGGCAGCAUAGAGGAGUGCACCGUGCUCCGCGGGCCCGACGGCACCAGCAAAGGCUGCGCGUUUGUAAAGUUCCAAAGCAACGCAGAGGCUCAAGCCGCCAUCAGUGCUCUGCAUGGGAGUCGUACUUUACCUGGCGCCUCCUCCAGCCUCGUGGUGAAGUUCGCUGAUACGGAGAAGGAGCGAGGGCUCCGGCGGAUGCAGCAGGUGGCCUCUCAGCUGGGCGUCAUCAGUCCAAUGACCCUGCACCUCGGGGCGUACAAUGCCUACACACAGGCUCUGAUGCAGCAGCAGGCCCUGGUGGCGCAGUCGGCCUACCUCUCCCCUGUUGCCACGGUGGCAGCGGUUCAGAUGCAGCAGCUCGCCGCCCUCAAUCCCAGCAGCAUCAUUGCCACGCCGAUCGCAUCCAUCACCCCCUCCUCAGGUACCAGCAGUCCACCGUCCAUCGCAGCCACGCCCGUCCCCGCUCUGCCUCCACCGCUCGCAGUCAACAGCUACCCGUCCGUGGCCGCUCCGCCCAACGGCCAGUCGGCCACCGAGACCCUGUACACCAACGGGGUCCACACCUAUCAAGCUCAGAGCCCAGUCCUGGACCCCCUGCAGCAAGCUUACACAGGCAUGCAGCACUACACAGCCACCUACCCUGCUGCCUACGGCCUGGUGGGACAGCCGUUCCCCCACCAGCCCACGCUGGUGGCUCAGCAGCCGCAGCAGCCGCAGCAGCUGCAGCAACGGGAAGGUCCCGAGGGCUGUAACAUCUUCAUCUACCACCUGCCGCAGGAGUUCACCGACUCCGAGAUAUUGCAGAUGUUCCUUCCCUUCGGUAACGUGAUCUCCGCAAAGGUCUUCGUGGACCGCGCCACCAACCAGAGCAAAUGCUUCGGCUUUGUGAGCUUUGACAACCCGUCCAGCGCCCAGACUGCCAUCCAGGCCAUGAACGGCUUCCAGAUCGGCAUGAAGAGACUGAAAGUGCAGCUGAAGAGGCCCAAGGAUGCUAACAGGCCUUACUGAGGGAGUGAGGAGACUGUCCUGUCCAUACAUAUAUCGUGGAGACGUGCUUCGCUAUGGCUACGGUUGCCUAGCAACCGCUAAAACCUCCCCCCUUCCUUCUCUCUGCGUUGAAAACCUAAGAGUUCAAUCAAGAAAAACCACUUGGGAUGUCCCAGCCUUUUCUGGUUGUUUGACCAACCGUAUAGCACAGGAGCAACACUUCACACAAAGCAGUAUCACAUGUAUGCGCUUACAAAAAAACAACAAAAAAACAAAACAAAAAAGAAACGACAGCAGCAGCAGUAAUAUCAGCGACACACACAUCUACCGAAUCUGCAUCCGCGACAUCAUGAAGUGCUCCGGGUUUCCUACUGUAUCAUUCCACAGAUGGAUCCAUUAACAGUAUAUUAUGUACAUACUCUAUUGAUGGCAACAAGAUGUACAUGUUAAGAAAAAGCAUAUCACUGAUGUUAUUCUACUGAACAGGGUUCUACUGUAUAGUGUGACUUGUGGCGUGAAGAGAAGGCCAGUCUAAACAGUCGGAGGCAAAAGAAAAUAAUAUUCUGUAUGAUUAUCAUUGGUAACAUUGUUCUGUAGAAUUAGUUUUAUUAUUUAUGAUGCGUAAAUUAAAAAAAAACACGGGGCGAUGAAGCUGGAAGAGAAAUGGGUUUCCUGUCACUGUACAUACAUUGGUUGAAACGGGGUUAAAAGGACUUAAAGGCUUCACCAGUUAAGAUUCUCCGCUGCCACUACUUUUCAAAUUAACUAAGCGAAAGGAAGGGCUGGGAAUUUUUCUAUCUUGAUUUUUUACGUUUAAUUUAUUUGGUAAUAAAUUUGGUUAGGGGGAAGAUGUGAUUUUUUUUUUAUUUAUGAAAAAAAAAAAAGAUUCCUGCAGUCU